GUUCGGUAAACGAUGCGAAGGAUUACCGACAUCGGUAAUGUACCAGCCGGAAACGUCAAAGCCAGCAUCAUGAUUGAUUUUGUUGGCGUGUUAAUUUUUCUUCAACAUUUUCGUCGAAUGCAAAACCAGAUACCUGAUUUUGAAACGAUGUUCUAUUUAAGAGGUGGCAAAAUUGUCAUCCGAACCAGUUCCUCCUGUUUCUCUGCGUCCAAUUGCAAGAUUCAACACCACACCA
Molecule: long non-coding RNA, 235 nt
Organism: Aedes aegypti (yellow fever mosquito)
Lineage: Eukaryota; Metazoa; Arthropoda; Insecta; Diptera; Culicidae
Exons: 2
Source: RefSeq, a predicted model, not a curated record